AGUGAACGCUGGCGAUAGGCCUAACACAUGCAAGUCGAACGGCAGCACAGUAAGAGCUUGCUCUUACGGGUGGCGAGUGGCGGACGGGUGAGGAAUACAUCGGAAUCUACUUUUUCGUGGGGGAUAACGUAGGGAAACUUACGCCAAUACCGCAUACGACCUACGGGUGAAAGCAGGGGAUCUUCGGACCUUGCGCGAUUGAAUGAGCCGAUGUCGGAUUAGCUAGUUGGCGGGGUAAAGGCCCACCAAGGCGACGAUCCGUAGCUGGUCUGAGAGGAUGAUCAGCCACACUGGAACUGAGACACGGUCCAGACUCCUACGGGAGGCAGCAGUGGGGAAUAUUGGACAAUGGGCGCAAGCCUGAUCCAGCCAUACCGCGUGGGUGAAGAAGGCCUUCGGGUUGUAAAGCCCUUUUGUUGGGAAAGAAAAGCAGCAGGUUAAUACCCCGCUGUUCUGACGGUACCCAAAGAAUAAGCACCGGCUAACUUCGUG
RNAcentral lists this ribosomal RNA (492 nucleotides) under uncultured bacterium. RNAcentral describes it as "partial 16S ribosomal RNA". It matches the Rfam family "Bacterial small subunit ribosomal RNA", at positions 29 to 507 of the family's 1533-position model. The record is from RNAcentral.